This is a long non-coding RNA of Ictalurus furcatus (blue catfish), 351 nucleotides long. RefSeq lists it as uncharacterized. Lineage: Eukaryota; Metazoa; Chordata; Actinopteri; Siluriformes; Ictaluridae. The record is from RefSeq and is a predicted model, not a curated record. The transcript is spliced from 3 exons.
CGAGAGAGAGAGUAAUAUUGUGUCAAAGUUCUUACCCAGAAAACCGCUUCUGGGAAAUUGCCGUUCCCGAGGUUGGACACACGAGGGCAGUCAAGCUCCAUCCAGCGCAACACACAACGCCGCCUGAAACAGAAGGCCUGCUCAGACACCACAGCGUUUAAAAACCUCGAGAUUCCCGGCGUCAUAAAGAGAACAACCGUCAAACAUACCAUCAGUUCUGGAUCUUCUCGAGUGAAAUAGAUGAGGCCACCUACGGAACAUAUUAAUUUACAUACACAGCAAAAUCCACAGAAAGAAAUCAACUCUAUUGGAUUUAAUGUAAACACUUUUAAAGUGUCUGGAGGGGUCCAC